Molecule: ribosomal RNA, 466 nt
Filed under: uncultured bacterium
Lineage: Bacteria
Description: partial 16S ribosomal RNA
Rfam family: Bacterial small subunit ribosomal RNA
Source: RNAcentral
GACGAACGCUGGCGGUAUGCUUAACACAUGCAAGUCGAACGAACAAAAUUGGGGCUUGCUCCAAUUUUAGUGAGUGGCAAACGGGUGAGUAACACGUGGGAAUCUACCUAUCAGUACGGAAUAACAUAUGGAAACAGAUGCUAAUACCGUAUAUUCUCCAAGGUGGAAAGAUUUAUCGCUGAUAGAUGAGCCCGCGCAAGAUUAGGUAGUUGGUAGGGUAAUGGCCUACCAAGACUACGAUCUUUAGCUGGUCUGAGAGGAUGAUCAGCCACACUGGGACUGAGACACGGCCCAGACUCCUACGGGAGGCAGCAGUAGGGAAUAUUGGACAAUGGGCGAAAGCCUGAUCCAGCAAUACCGCGUGAAUGAUGAAGGCCUUAGGGUUGUAAAGUUCUUUUAGUUGGAAAGAUAAUGACGGUACCAACAGAAAAAGCCCCGGCUAACUCCGUGCCAGCCGCCGCCGUAA